AAAUCCUGGAACUGUGCUUUUUACUGACUUCCUGCUUCCCAGAUUGGGGGUGGGGAGUCUUUCCAACUCUGAGGUCUUCCCAAGUUCACUCCUUCUGCAGGUGAAGAUAGUCCCACUUAGGAUCCUUACCUGACACUGUCAUUUAACGCUCUCAGGGGUGAGGUUCUGGCACCCUGUACUUGGAAUCUCACAACCGUCCUUAUCCAAACAAAAUACCUGUUACCUUACUUCAGAGGCUGGCAUUCUUUCAAACAUUCUUCUUUCUCAUUUUUAGCCUCCUUCUGAAGAAAUAAAAACAGGUGAGGAUGAAGAUGAGGAAGAUAAUGAUGCUUUACUGAAGGAAAAUGAAAGUCCUGAUGUUCGGCGAGACAAACCUGUAACAGGAGAACAAAUAGAGGUAUUUGCCAACAAGCUGGGUGAACAAUGGAAGAUUCUGGCUCCCUACUUGGAAAUGAAAGACUCAGAAAUUAGGCAGAUUGAGUGUGACAGUGAAGACAUGAAGAUGAGAGCUAAGCAGCUUCUGGUUGCCUGGCAAGAUCAAGAGGGAGUUCAUGCAACACCUGAGAAUCUGAUUAAUGCACUGAAUAAGUCUGGAUUAAGUGACCUUGCAGAAAGUCUAACUAAUGACAAUGAGACAAAUAGUUAGCUUCUUUUUUUUUCUUUUUAUUAAAACUGUGAUAGAUUUUGUUACCAAGCAGCAUUUGAUAAGAGGUCCACUGGUUUUGGUAAACAAUAAACAUUUUUAUAACA
RNAcentral lists this small RNA (750 nucleotides) under Pan troglodytes (chimpanzee). RNAcentral describes it as "retained intron". Lineage: Eukaryota; Metazoa; Chordata; Mammalia; Primates; Hominidae. The record is from RNAcentral.